AGUGAACGCUGGCGGUAGGCCUAACACAUGCAAGUCGAACGGCAGCACAGUAAGAGCUUGCUCUUACGGGUGGCGAGUGGCGGACGGGUGAGGAAUACAUCGGAAUCUACUUUUUCGUGGGGGAUAACGUAGGGACACUUACGCUAAUACCGCAUACGACCUACGGGUGAAAGCAGGGGAUCUUCGGACCUUGCGCGAUUGAAUGAGCCGAUGUCAGAUUAGCUAGUUGGCGGGGUAACGGCCCACCAAGGCGACGAUCCGUAGCUGGUCUGAGAGGAUGAUCAGCCACACUGGAACUGAGACACGGUCCAGACUCCUACGGGAGGCAGCAGUGGGGAAUAUUGGACAAUGGGCGCAAGCCUGAUCCAGCCAUACCGCGUGGGUGAAGAAGGCCUUCGGGUUGUAAAGCCCUUUUGUUGGGAAAGAAAAGCAGCAGGUUAAUACCCCGCUGUUCUGACGGUACCCAAAGAAUAAGCACCGGCUAACUUCGUG
RNAcentral lists this ribosomal RNA (492 nucleotides) under uncultured bacterium. RNAcentral describes it as "partial 16S ribosomal RNA". It matches the Rfam family "Bacterial small subunit ribosomal RNA", at positions 29 to 507 of the family's 1533-position model. The record is from RNAcentral.